UACGUAGGGUGCAAGCGUUGUCCGGAACUAUUGGGCGUAAAGAGCUCGUAGGCGGUUUGUCGCGUCUGCUGUGAAAACGCGAGGCUCAACCUCGCGCCUGCAGUGGGUACGGGCAGACUAGAGUGCGGUAGGGGAGAUUGGAAUUCCUGGUGUAGCGGUGGAAUGCGCAGAUAUCAGGAGGAACACCGGUGGCGAAGGCGGAUCUCUGGGCCAUUACUGACGCUGAGGAGCGAAAGCGUGGGGAGCGAACAGG
RNAcentral lists this ribosomal RNA (253 nucleotides) under uncultured bacterium. RNAcentral's name for it is "partial 16S ribosomal RNA". It matches the Rfam family "Bacterial small subunit ribosomal RNA", at positions 524 to 776 of the family's 1533-position model. The record is from RNAcentral.